GACGAACGCUGGCGGCGUGCUUAACACAUGCAAGUCGAACGAAGUGGCGAACGGGUGAGUAACGCGUAAUCAACCUGCCCUUCAGCGGGGGACAACAGUUGGAAACGACUGCUAAUACCGCAUACUGAAGGAGGGGAUUGCGUCUGAUUAGCUCGUUGGAGGGGUAACGGCCCACCAAGGCGAGGAUCAGUAGCCGGUCUUGGAGGAUGACCGGCCACAUGGGGACUGAGACACGGCCCAGACUCCUACGGGAGGCAGCAGUGGGGAAUCUUCCGCAAUGGACGAAAGUCUGACGGAGCAACGCCGGGUGAGUGAUGGAGGCCUUCGGGUUGUAAAGCUCUGUUAAGCGGGACGCGGUACCAGAAUAGAAAGCCACGGCUAACUACGUGCCAGCAGCCGCGGUAAUUC
Molecule: ribosomal RNA, 408 nt
Filed under: uncultured bacterium
Lineage: Bacteria
Description: partial 16S ribosomal RNA
Rfam family: Bacterial small subunit ribosomal RNA
Source: RNAcentral